AAAGGGUGUGUAGGCGGGUAUUUAAGUCAGUGGUGAAAUCUCCGAGCUCAACUCGGAAACUGCCAUUGAUACUAUUUAUCUUGAAUAUUGUUGAGGUAGGCGGAAUAUGUCAUGUAGCGGUGAAAUGCUUAGAUAUGACAUAGAACACCGAUUGCGAAGGCAGCUUGCUAAACAAUUAUUGACGCUGAGGCACGAAAGCGUGGGGAUCAAACAGGAUUAGAUACCCGUGU
Molecule: ribosomal RNA, 230 nt
Filed under: uncultured bacterium
Lineage: Bacteria
Description: partial 16S ribosomal RNA
Rfam family: Bacterial small subunit ribosomal RNA
Source: RNAcentral